AAAACGGCGGCCAGGCUCGCGGCACUCGUCCUGCUCCCGGGGGCUGAACCCGCAGCAGCUGGGAUCCAGACGGUUGUGAAUCUGCCACAAGAAGGAGAAGAAGAACCGAUGAGUUGGCAGCUUACUGUAGAUUUUGCAAGUGACAUGCGGAACAUCGGAUUGGAUUGUUGAGAAUCCGGUCCCGACAGGACAAGACUUGCAUUUCUACAACACGGUGACCGAUCUUCUCGCUGAAUUGGACGAGCGGUUUGAAUUGGAAGCCCCGGAAAACCUGUCAUGACGUCUGUGAGAAGCAAUCACGGAGCAGUCGUGGGAAGAAACAAAAUGGCCACUCCGGAGGCACAAAACGGACUGAAAUGAGCUCAUAGUGUUGUAUACAUACACUGAAAGUCAUUCGGCAGCGACCCAUCGUUGUGGUCACACAUGCAGUAGUACCCUGAGAUACUGCACAAGUGACCCAACUUGUCAAUUUUCGGAGGCAGCGUGGGAUCGAUUCCCGCUCAGUGAUGGUGUCAAUAUCUGCCCUGUGACUGACCAGCGACUAGUUCAGGGUGUGGUCCGCCUUUCGCCCAAAGCUAGUGGGAUGGGCUCCAGCUUUCCCACUACCCCUGGGAGGAUAAGCGGCUUGGUGAUGGACGGCGGAGCAGCCUGACCCCGGCUUCGGGGCGACGUUACGAAUCCAGCAUCUCUGCCGGAGAGACCUCUGGUACUCGGCCCACGUUAGGCUCACGCCAUCCGGG
This is a long non-coding RNA of Syngnathoides biaculeatus (alligator pipefish), 740 nucleotides long. RefSeq lists it as uncharacterized. The transcript is spliced from 4 exons. The record is from RefSeq and is a predicted model, not a curated record. Lineage: Eukaryota; Metazoa; Chordata; Actinopteri; Syngnathiformes; Syngnathidae.